This 492-nucleotide ribosomal RNA is filed under the name uncultured bacterium. RNAcentral's name for it is "partial 16S ribosomal RNA". It matches the Rfam family "Bacterial small subunit ribosomal RNA", at positions 29 to 507 of the family's 1533-position model. The record is from RNAcentral.
AGUGAACGCUGGCGGUAGGCCUAACACAUGCAAGUCGAACGGCAGCACAGUAAGAGCUUGCUCUUACGGGUGGCGAGUGGCGGACGGGUGAGGAAUACAUCGGAAUCUACUUUUUCGUGGGGGAUAACGUAGGGAAACUUACGCUAAUACCGCAUACGACCUACGGGUGAAAGCAGGGGAUCUUCGGACCUUGCGCGAUUGAAUGAGCCGAUGUCGGAUUAGCUAGUUGGCGGGGUAAAGGCCCACCAAGGCGACGAUCCGUAGCUGGUCUGAGAGGAUGAUCAGCCAAACUGGAACUGAGACACGGUCCAGACUCCUACGGGAGGCAGCAGUGGGGAAUAUUGGACAAUGGGCGCAAGCCUGAACCAGCCAUACCGCGUGGGUGAAGAAGGCCUUCGGGUUGUAAAGCCCUUUUGUUGGGAAAGAAAAGCAGCAGGUUAAUACCCCGCUGUUCUGACGGUACCCAAAGAAUAAGCACCGGCUAACUUCGUG